ACAUGUGACCGUACCUCCUUGCCAAAGCCUGAUCUUGUCAAAUCUCAGAAGCUAAGUAAGAAUGGGCCUAGAUAGUACUUGGAUGGGAGGCUGCUGGGAAUAUCAGGUGCCAUAGUG
RNAcentral lists this ribosomal RNA (117 nucleotides) under Periophthalmus magnuspinnatus. The record is from RNAcentral. Lineage: Eukaryota; Metazoa; Chordata; Actinopteri; Gobiiformes; Gobiidae.